CCUACGGGGGGCAGCAGUGGGGAAUAUUGGACAAUGGGGGCAACCCUGAUCCAGCCAUGCCGCGUGUGUGAAGAAGGCCCUCGGGUUGUAAAGCACUUUCAGUGAGGAAGAACGCCUGGUGGUUAAUACCCAUCAGGAAAGACAUCACUCACAGAAGAAGCACCGGCUAACUCCGUGCCAGCAGCCGCGGUAAUACGGAGGGUGCGAGCGUUAAUCGGAAUUACUGGGCGUAAAGCGCGCGUAGGUGGCUUGAUAAGCCGGUUGUGAAAGCCCCGGGCUCAACCUGGGAACGGCAUCCGGAACUGUCAAGCUAGAGUGCAGGAGAGGAAGGUAGAAUUCCCGGUGUAGCGGUGAAAUGCGUAGAGAUCGGGAGGAAUACCAGUGGCGAACGCGGCCUUCUGGACUGACACUGACACUGAGGUGCGAAAGCGUGGGUAGCAAACAGGAUUAGAUACCCUAGUAGUC
This 465-nucleotide ribosomal RNA is filed under the name Vreelandella stevensii. RNAcentral's name for it is "partial 16S ribosomal RNA". It matches the Rfam family "Bacterial small subunit ribosomal RNA", at positions 338 to 795 of the family's 1533-position model. Lineage: Bacteria; Pseudomonadati; Pseudomonadota; Gammaproteobacteria; Oceanospirillales; Halomonadaceae. The record is from RNAcentral.